RNAcentral lists this ribosomal RNA (691 nucleotides) under Vibrio sp. SUB7. RNAcentral's name for it is "bacterial SSU rRNA". It matches the Rfam family "Bacterial small subunit ribosomal RNA", at positions 56 to 728 of the family's 1533-position model. The record is from RNAcentral. Lineage: Bacteria; Pseudomonadati; Pseudomonadota; Gammaproteobacteria; Vibrionales; Vibrionaceae.
UGCAGUCGAGCGGAACGAGUUAUCUGAACCUUCGGGGAACGAUAACGGCGUCGAGCGGCGGACGGGUGAGUAAUGCCUAGGAAAUUGCCCUGAUGUGGGGGAUAACCAUUGGAAACGAUGGCUAAUACCGCAUAAUACCUACGGGUCAAAGAGGGGGACCUUCGGGCCUCUCGCGUCAGGAUAUGCCUAGGUGGGAUUAGCUAGUUGGUGAGGUAAUGGCUCACCAAGGCGACGAUCCCUAGCUGGUCUGAGAGGAUGAUCAGCCACACUGGAACUGAGACACGGUCCAGACUCCUACGGGAGGCAGCAGUGGGGAAUAUUGCACAAUGGGCGCAAGCCUGAUGCAGCCAUGCCGCGUGUGUGAAGAAGGCCUUCGGGUUGUAAAGCACUUUCAGUCGUGAGGAAGGUAGUGUAGUUAAUAGCUGCAUUAUUUGACGUUAGCGACAGAAGAAGCACCGGCUAACUCCGUGCCAGCAGCCGCGGUAAUACGGAGGGUGCGAGCGUUAAUCGGAAUUACUGGGCGUAAAGCGCAUGCAGGUGGUUUGUUAAGUCAGAUGUGAAAGCCCGGGGCUCAACCUCGGAAUAGCAUUUGAAACUGGCAGACUAGAGUACUGUAGAGGGGGGUAGAAUUUCAGGUGUAGCGGUGAAAUGCGUAGAGAUCUGAAGGAAUACCGGUGGCGAAGGCGGCCCC